This 429-nucleotide ribosomal RNA is filed under the name Triticum aestivum (bread wheat). RNAcentral describes it as "partial small subunit ribosomal RNA". The record is from RNAcentral. Lineage: Eukaryota; Viridiplantae; Streptophyta; Magnoliopsida; Poales; Poaceae.
AUGCUGCCUGGUCAUGGCUACGACACACGACGCAUCUUCGACGCUGUGGUCAUGGAGGCUCGGCAGCGCCUUGCCGGAUGUGAAACUCUGAGUGGUAGGUAUGAGAAGUUGAUCACAGGCUUGCAUGACGACGAUGGUACAAUCCUAUAUAAGGGAGCCGAGCUUGGGAGGCAACUUAGAGAUAAUGUUCCUGAUCAAGGACAGCGUUGGAAGGUGCUGGCUGACUUUUGGGCAGAGUUCAUACUCUUCCUGGCGCCAUCGGACAAUGCGGACAUCCAUGCAGAGAUGCUGGCCACCGGCGGGGAGCUCAUGACCCAUCUUUGGGCACUUCUCACUCAUGCUGGUAUUCUGGGGCGGCCCUCUUCCUCCUCUGGGAUAGACCAUCUGGGAGGGUUUAAUGGUACCACUGCACAAGAGUCUGUGGUUUGA